Molecule: long non-coding RNA, 362 nt
Organism: Tupaia belangeri chinensis (Chinese tree shrew)
Lineage: Eukaryota; Metazoa; Chordata; Mammalia; Scandentia; Tupaiidae
Exons: 4
Source: RefSeq, a predicted model, not a curated record
AGGUGCCUGGGACGCCCAGCACAUGGGGUGUGCGGCACUUCCCUUCCUAGGAGGCAGGAGCUAGCCGAGGCUCCCCUCCACUUUGUCCUCCUGCUGGUCUCACAUCCUCUCAGGUUUGUUGAGGACAGUGUGAUCAUCCAGGUAUAUCACUAAAGGAAACAGAAACACCUCUUUCAUCACCUACCCAAGGAAUCAUGAAAAGAGGUAAUUUGGAAACACUCUGGAACAAAUUCUGCCCCCUCUCCCCAACAGACCAAGCACAGCCAGCCUAGGGUGGUCAUUCAUCAACUGUCUACUUCGACAGGGAGCUCUGUCCUCGGGACAGCCAGAGCCUGUUUGGCAGAGUCCACACAGCAAACUGC